CUGAUAACGCUCACUCCUUUACUGUAAUGACCCAGGUCAGCAGCACCGCCAUAUAAGCACUGUCAGAGGCCACACUUACAUUAAUCCCAGCGUUUGUUGAACUGCUAGCUCUGUUUCUGAUAACAUCUUAUUACAGCUGGAUCUAAAUGACCUGCACAUCUGAAAGCUGAUGUAUUCUAAACUACAUCAUUUGAUUUAAUUAAAAUAUAGCUUCUUCUCACAACUUUUUCUCAGUUGUGCUACACAUGAAUGCUAGAUACUCAAACCUAUGAGAAAUCUGUGCUCACACCAUGGUCAGUAAGCCAGCGGGGCUUUUGUGACUCCUGUCACCUCACCCACGAAUCCUUAACAGCAAUGUGAAAUUAAUAGCACAGCAGGUUAUUCCUCUUCUUUCAACAUUCCUCCACAGUAGGUAGGUCCAAAAGCCAUUUCAACAGAGGUAGUAAGAAGGAAUUAAUCACCAAUAAUUAAACAAACUCUGAUUUUGACAUCAACAAAAUUAAAAUUCAUUUACAGUUCACUGAUGGACACUAUAACUAAAAGACAAUAUACCCUUAAGCACCUUUUUAUUGCUGACAGUAAUACUUGGGUUAGAAAUUAGCACAGCAUGGUUUUUAAAUCUCAAACUGAGACUGCAGAGAAGGCAGUUAAAAAAGGGUUGGUUGUUGGCGGGUUGGUUUUUUUGGUGGUUUUUUUUUUUUUUUUUUUCCCCUUAACUUGCAAACUGAGCAAACUCAAUCUGGAAGUCAUUAACAGAUAAUAAACAUAACCUUCCCCCACUCACUCCCAAGAUGCCAUCUCAAGAGUCACUUUUCAGAACACAGUUGUAUUUUUACAACAUGUCAUCCUACAGAGAAGAGCCCCACAGACAUUCAUUUUAUCUGAUUUCUCCCUUACCGCUAAGGAAUUAGUGCAUUCUCUACAGCAGGACUCAGUUCCUGGCAAGCAAAACGAAAUGGAGUGAAAGGAGAAGGAAGUUGGAAAAGAAGUAAGAGGCAUUCAGGAAUGUGAAUGAAUUACAAAUAAUGCUUUUCAGAAUCUGUCUUCAAUUUAAAAAGAAGGAAAGAGAAGAUCCUUAGAGAAGUGGUGCUCUUGCCAUCGUGGCCAAAGGGUGUGAAGAAGGGUUUCUACGGAGGAGAUUCUGUUCCACAUCAUUGAGAUUCACAAGCCUGCAUUCUGUCAGCGAAGAGAGAUGCACAGCUUAUCACCUCCCUUAUUAAAAAAGGAACUCAAAAUCAGGCAUGGUAUAAAUACAACAGGACCUGCUUCGCUGAACUUAAAUUUUCUACCUUACUGGUCUUAUGAGCCUUGGAGGAAAAUGAAUGUGUUAAAGAAAGACAGACCUGGUGACCCAACGAAGAUUACAAGGAAAGAUAUUCAAUAAUAAAGGGACUAAGCACAGGAUAAGCAGACCACAAAACAACACAUCAGACAAAGACUGGAGAUUGAAAAAUUGGACAUUCAAGAAGAAGUCAAUGAUGGAAAGAUAUCUCAAGUUGUUAUCUAAAUGUCAUUCUACCACCAAAAUUAAGAACAGCUUUGAGAAAUCAGAUACCACUUAUUUCCACUGACACAUCUCAAAAACUUGCAGACAACACAAGAAAGAGAUGCCUUUCUAGGCAAGCCUGUGAAGCUAAGAAGCGUGGGCUGUGAGUAAGAAUGGAAUUAAGGAAAAAAAAAAAAAAAAAAAAGAUUUGCUCUUGAUUCUUCCUUAUUUAAAUACAAAAAUCUAUGGAUUAGGCUUUCUGAUCUCACAAGAAAAUUUUAAAAGACAAAAUGAACAUAUUAAGAGCUUGUAAGAAUAAGAAUAUCAGAGAAAUAAUUGCUGUAUUUGAUAUACACAGAGUCCUUUAAAAUCUGACUUCUCUUAAUAGGAAAACAAAACAAGACUUCUCUGGAUUGUCUCUUUGUAUAACAGAACAUACGAACAGCUCCUCUCAGUCAAACCAAAGGUACAUGCAGUGCAGUAUCCUACUUCCAACUCUGACCAAUAUGAGAUGCCUGAAGAUGACUGUAAGAGCAUGGCAAGCACAGUGAUAUUUCCACAGAAAUCUCUCCUGGCCACAAGCAUUUUGUGGCUGAGGAGCCACAGAGGUGGUGACUGCAUUUUAGAGUUCUCUAUGACAUUUUCUACUAACCAACUCUGGGAUCUUUGAAGUUUUAAACAUUUGGUAUUUAACAGCAUCCUUGGGUGCUUAUGAAAAUUGUAUGAAGAGCCAUUUCUGCUUUGUUUUCCUUUUUUAAAAAGUUUAAUCUGAUGUUCUGCUAGUCUCAUUUGUUUUAAAAUUAGAAAGUAAUCAGAGAACUUAUAACACAUAACAUCUUGCAAUAGAUAGCUGAAGGCUUUUGCAUAUUAAAACAUCUUGCAAGCAGAAAGCUCAUAUGACAUUCUGGGAGAAGGAACUGAGGUUCCUUUUCCCAGUUCUGCUCAUUUAAUAUUCCCAAACUACUGCAUAACAAUUCCUAUUUUCUGGAUUCAAUAUUUUCAAGUUCAUAUACUGUAACCAAAACUUCUAAUGUAAGUUUUGUAAAACAUUUUAUAUUACACUGUAAUGUUCUGAGAGAUGAUUUUACAACACAAUUUAACUCGACGAC
Gallus gallus (chicken) is the source of this 2595-nucleotide long non-coding RNA. RefSeq lists it as uncharacterized. The transcript has 2 exons. NCBI's taxonomy places the organism in Eukaryota, Metazoa, Chordata, Aves, Galliformes, Phasianidae. The record is from RefSeq and is a predicted model, not a curated record.